This 465-nucleotide ribosomal RNA is filed under the name uncultured bacterium. RNAcentral describes it as "partial 16S ribosomal RNA". It matches the Rfam family "Bacterial small subunit ribosomal RNA", at positions 339 to 795 of the family's 1533-position model. The record is from RNAcentral.
CUACGGGAUGCUGCAGUGGGGUAUAUUGGACAAUGGGGGAAACCCUGAUCCAGCAAUGCCGCGUGUGUGAAGAAGGCCUGCGGGUUGUAAAGCACUUUCGGUUGGGAGGACUGCUUCUAGCACUAAUAUUGUUGGAAGUUGACGUUACCUUCAGAAGAAGCACCGGCUACUCCGUGCCAGCAGGCCGCGGUAAUACGGAGGGUGCAAGCGUUAAUCGGAAUUACUGGGCGUAAAGCGCGCGUAGGCGGCUAGAUCAGUCGGGUGUGAAAGCCCCGGGCUUAACCUGGGAACUGCAUCCGAUACUGUCUAGCUUGAGUACAGGAGAGGAGAGUGGAAUUCCACAUGUAGCGGUGAAAUGCGUAGAUAUGUGGAGGAACACCAAUGGCGAAGGCAGCUCUCUGGCCUGAUACUGACGCUGAGGUGCGAAAGCGUGGGGAGCAAACAGGAUUAGAUACCCUAGUAGUC